CUACUUUUGAUUUUGGAGGUAACUCUGCUCUAUCCCCUCAGGUGUUAGACAAAGAACUAAAAGAUCUGUCUACCAUGGUGAGUCAGGAAUUGGAGUGUGUGGAUCAGAUUAUCAUCAGCCAGCCUCAAGAAGUCCCUGCUCAGUUGUUGAAGGCUUUAGAGAAAGAUGCCAAGAAUCUUCAAAAGUCCCUCAGCUCUGUGAGUGACUCUUGGAGUUCCAGAUUAUUCCACCUCCAGAAUGUCGUGGAAGUGGAAAAGACCACAGUGUUAAAUCAGCACAUGGAGCUAGAAGGCAAACUUCAAAAUCUGAAAGCCUGGAUUGGCAGAACCAGUCUUACUCUAGAUAGCAAGAGAAGUGACAGUGAAACCAGUGUUGACAGCUUGAGUCAUUCUCUCCAACAGUAUGAGGUAAUGCUCCACCAUUCCCAGACAUGUUUUAUUUUAUGUUCUUUGAUUAUUUUCCUGCAGGGCAAACUAGUCUCUACAUAAUCAUUCUGAGAAAGUCUAAAUUUCUCUUUUUUUUUUUGUCUUUUUGAGACAGGGUCUCCCUGUAGGCCCAGCUGGCCUAGAACUCACUAUGUAGACCAGGCUGGCUUUGAACUAAUAGAAAUCCACGUGCCUCUGCCUCCUGAGUGCUGGAAUUAAAGGUAUGUGCCACCACACCCAGUGUUAAAAUUUUUUUAAUUUAUUUUCAUUUUAUGUAUAUGAGUAUUAUACCUGUAUGCAUGUAAGUACACCUGUGUCAUGCAAAGCCCACAGUGGCCAGAAGAGGGUGUCAGAUCCUCCUGGAGUUGGAGUUACUGACAGUUGUUAGCCACCAUAUAUGUGCUGGAAUUCAAACCCAGGUCCUCUGGAAGAGCACCCAGUGCCCUUAACCACUGAGCCAUCUCUCCAGUCCCCUGAAUUAAGUUCUUGUAGGGGAAGCUGUCUUCUGUUUUCUCAUUUUUCACUUGGCUACAAGGAGUCUCUUGGCAUGGCUAGUUGGGUUACUUAUCACUGUCACAAUAUUGCUUUCUUGGGGCUGGAGCCCAGCGGUUAAGAACACUGACUGUUCUUGCUAACAACUGUCUGUAACUCCAGUUCCAAGGGAGCCAACUGUGGGAAGCGGGCGCAGUCAAGCCAGCCAAGAUGGCACCCUGGCUGGCUGCCAAGCCUCGUGACCCUCACUUGUUUGCUCCAACGGGCGCAAGCGCUGUAAGCUUGAUCACGCGCAGCCUGCCUGACAUGAUACAUCACCGAGCAUGAUUCUAUUGUGUGGCCCAAUGAUUUGCUGUUCUGUCUGCAUGUUAGCCCCGUGCUCAUGUCCUGAUUGGCUCCGUGUGACGGUCUGAUUGUGGGAUGGAUCUGAUGAGGGUAUAUAUUGUGGGAUGACGAAGAAUAAGAGAGAGAGAAUUGCUUGAACCUCACUUUGGCGUCCGUGUUGUCCUUUCCUCAG
RNAcentral lists this long non-coding RNA (1434 nucleotides) under Nannospalax galili (Upper Galilee mountains blind mole rat). Its description in RNAcentral is "lncRNA (ENSNGAG00000024601.1)". The record is from RNAcentral. Lineage: Eukaryota; Metazoa; Chordata; Mammalia; Rodentia; Spalacidae.